CCUUCGCGUCAUCCGGUCCUCUGGUAGUGACGUAUUUAUUAGAUCUAAACCCCCCCGGGUUCUGCCGUACUUGAUAUGAUUCAUGCUAACUUCACGAAUCGCACGCCCUCCGCCACGCAACGUUUCAUUUUAUUCCCCAUCCUCUUUCGAUUGGAUUGUAUUGCACUACCCUGGCAAUUUCGGGAAAUGGGAAUUAAAAAUAGAUUUCGGGUCCGCAUCCGGGUCCUGAGGGUAUCAUAAUUCAUCGAGGGACGGGGGGAGGCACUUACAUUACCCUAAUUCAAGGAAGGUAGGACAAGAAAAAAAAACUCGGGCCCCACUUGUGUUUGGGAGGUUGAUGUGAGGUAAUAUUCAUACCACUUAUCGAGGAAGAAUUGGAGGGCGGGUCUGGUGGCGGCAGCCGCGGCGGUUCCUGCUCCAACAACGAAGAUUUAAAAAAA
This 440-nucleotide ribosomal RNA is filed under the name Surirella sp. DBBT-09. RNAcentral's name for it is "partial 18S ribosomal RNA". It matches the Rfam family "Eukaryotic small subunit ribosomal RNA", at positions 173 to 596 of the family's 1831-position model. Lineage: Eukaryota; Bacillariophyta; Bacillariophyceae; Surirellales; Surirellaceae. The record is from RNAcentral.